GAUGAACGCUGGCGGCGUGCCUAAUACAUGCAAGUCGAGCGAACGGACGAGAAGCUUGCUUCUCUGAUGUUAGCGGCGGACGGGUGAGUAACACGUGGAUAACCUACCUAUAAGACUGGGAUAACCUCGGGAAACCGGAGCUAAUACCGGAUGAUAUUUUGAACCGCAUGGUUCAAAAGUGAAAGACGGUCUUGCUGUCACUUAUAGAUGGAUCCGCGCUGCAUUAGCUAGUUGGUAAGGUAACGGCUUACCAAGGCAACGAUGCAUAGCCGACCUGAGAGGGUGAUCGGCCACACUGGAACUGAGACACGGUCCAGACUCCUACGGGAGGCAGCAGUAGGGAAUCUUCCGCAAUGGGCGAAAGCCUGACGGAGCAACGCCACGUGAGUGAUGAAGGUCUUCGGAUCGUAAAACUCUGUUAUUAGGGAAGAACAUAUGUGUAAGUAACUGUGCACAUCUUGAUGGUACCUAAUCAGAAAGCCACGGCUAACUACGUG
This 497-nucleotide ribosomal RNA is filed under the name uncultured bacterium. Its description in RNAcentral is "partial 16S ribosomal RNA". It matches the Rfam family "Bacterial small subunit ribosomal RNA", at positions 28 to 507 of the family's 1533-position model. The record is from RNAcentral.